RNAcentral lists this long non-coding RNA (982 nucleotides) under Sinocyclocheilus anshuiensis. RNAcentral's name for it is "lncRNA (ENSSANG00000035469.1)". The record is from RNAcentral. Lineage: Eukaryota; Metazoa; Chordata; Actinopteri; Cypriniformes; Cyprinidae.
GAAAAGUCAAUAUUUGGUCACCUUGUAGACCAGGGGUGCCCAAACUCGGUCCUGGAGGGCCGGUGUCCUGCAGAGUUUAGCUCCAACCCUAAUCAAACACACCUGAACCAGCUAAUCAAGCUCUUAUAGGCAUACUAGAAACUUCCUGGCAGGUGUGUUGAGGCAAGUUGGAGCAAAACUCUACAGGACACCGGCCCUCCAGGACCGAGUUUGGACACCGCUGUUGUAGACUACAAUAAACCUUUUGUACUCUCUUUAUAGGACCUUAUAUGUAGUCAAGUGAGUUUGCAUAAACAGUAUGCUAUUACAAGAGCUUCAGAGACAGACUGAAGUGUAGUUAUAGCGGAUGUCUAAUGAUUUCACCGUUGUUUGUUUCUGUAGCAAUGCUCCUGACUUCGCAGUCCUCUCGAUUCACGCCUGGCUUCACAUAAAAUUGCGGAAGACGGAACAAACAAACAAGGCCUGGAGUCCCACUGUGAAUGGCACUGAUUUCAUAUGCUGUAGAUUUGUUGUAGUUGUUUAAGCCCCGAACUCUAGCUGCAGAUGGUGAGUCUGAGUCUUAAUGGAGCAGCUCUUGAACCUUGAUCCCUUCUCCUCCCCUUGUCCCUUAAAAGCCUCUUCUCAAUACCCCUGCAGGCUGUAAGGAAUCUCAACAUCUGUCAGCAAUGCACACUCCCCUUAUGUUCCCAUGAGAUGUGAAUCAAUAUAAAGCACUCUGUGAAAUACAUCUCUGUUCAUUUGUUUAGGUAAUAAUUUAUUUUAUGUCUUAGAUUGAUCCAUGUGCAUUAAUUAAUUUGUCUGUAAGUUGUUUAGUUAAAUUAGUGCUAUACAUACAGAAUAUAGAUAUUUUUUCCCAAUAUAAUCACAUUUCAGAUCAGUAUGGAAUCUAAUUAUAAUCUAAUGCUGUAAUGUAAACAUACAUUAAUAAAGAAUUAAAGGUACACUCCCCCCAAAAAUUAAAAUUGUCAUCAUUUACAACCUC